CCGCUAACGAGCGCAACCCUCGCUGUGUGUUACAAGUAGUCACACGGAACUGCCGGUCAUAACGAGGAAGUGGGAUGACGUCAAGUCAGCAUGGCCUUUAUAUCCUGGGCUACACACACGCUACAAUGGGAAGGGACAAUAGGUUGCGAAGCCGCGAGGCGGAGCCAAUCCAGCAAAACUUCCCUCAGUUCAGAUUGCAGGCUGCAACUCGCCUGCAUGAAGUUGGAGUUGCUAGUAAACGCAGGUCAGCCAUACUGCGUUGAAUACGUUCCCGGGGCUU
RNAcentral lists this ribosomal RNA (280 nucleotides) under uncultured Anaerolineaceae bacterium. RNAcentral's name for it is "partial 16S ribosomal RNA". It matches the Rfam family "Bacterial small subunit ribosomal RNA", at positions 1086 to 1382 of the family's 1533-position model. Lineage: Bacteria; Bacillati; Chloroflexota; Anaerolineae; Anaerolineales; Anaerolineaceae. The record is from RNAcentral.